GCUGCUGGCAGACUCCUCCCCACUGUCACCAGCCAGACCCGUCCCACAGCCUGGCCCAACCCGGUCACCCGCAUGGAAAUGAAACUAUGACAUUGGGCUGAAACACAUGGAGCAGUUCCCUCGGGGGGCUGUGAGGGGCCAGCGGCCUCUGUAGCACUUGCGGCUCUUCAGCUGAGCAGAAGAGGGUUGCGUGAACAAGGACACGCCUGGCCCAGGCCCGGGACGCAGCCCACGCCGUGGUGAUCGGAGGACUGGGCAGCGAGUCAGGCAGGCGGCAGGUCUAAAAUCAGAGCCACUGUGCAUGGAAGAGCUCGCGAUGACACCUUCAGACGCCCCGGGUGUGGGGCCGAGGUGAGGGUGGGCAGUGGAGAAGCGUGCGUGUAAAUGCUGUUUGGAAAUUGAAUAGGCAAACCCGGCUCCUCCAAGCCCGGACGGCAGGCGCGGUGCUCCUGGGUUCUUUUAGGAAGAAGCCACAGUACAGGGCUUUGGUGGCCGUGGUGUUUGUCUUCCAGGGAAUAUUUUAGUUUCACUGUAAUUCUGUUUGCCACCAGUCUUACUCAGUCAUCUUCGAUGUUCAGGAUAAUGGUCUUUAGUCACCGAGAGGUAAUUAUGGUCAGCAGCUGCCAUUCAACCUGCGGGAAGUGUGCACAAAUGCACAGCUGGGAGAUUUUGGUCCCUACAGAAAACGGGUCUCUGGUCAGCCUCCAGGUAGCCAGGACUCCAGCCAACGAGAACAUGCCAUUUAAAUCUCACUUGUUAAUCUUUUAUUCCAGUAGUUCUCAUUUGAUACAUUUUUAAGAGUUUUUACUUUGCGUUCCUUGAGCAGUGCAUUUCUCUUCUGUAGUGUUUGGUCAUGUCAAGAAAAGUCUGGAAAACGUGUAGAACAGGCUGUUUUAUCAGUCACCUGUCUCCACGAGGCGUCGGCAGAGCUAUUUCCCUGUCAGCUCCCGUCCCUCGGGUCCUUGUCAGUGAAAACACCCCAGUAUGUGAUAAAGACACACAGGGGCAGUCAAGCCUCCAGUGACCCUGGCAGGGGAGGAGGAGGCCACAUGCAGCAGGGACAACUUUCCUCCGCAGAGAGGGACCGCGAGCUCGCCUGGUGCCCAGCGCUCUGCACAUGUCACCGUGGUGAAGUCCAAAGAAGACUCUCUGCGGGGCAGAUGACGCUGCUGUCAUCCAGCCCGUUUUAUGGAUGGGGAAAACUGAGGCCUGGGCAGGUAAGCGCCUCGCUCCAGGCCAUCCACGGCUGCAGAGCUGCCUGUCCCAGAGCUCCGCCCUCGUUCUGCCUGCUCACGUUCGCGCGGAGACCCCUGAGCAGGGCCCUGCCGGGACAGGUGGCGCGCCUCCCAGCGCAGUCCAGAGCGUGGCUGUGAAACCAAAUCAGCCCGCGCUGGUCCCCCAGGCUCUCGCGGGGCCGUCGUUUCCACUGAACAAAGUCCGGCUGCAGAAAGAGCCUCCCGCGCACGUAAGCUGAUUGAGAAAUCACCGAAGCUGACUUCAUCCUUGACACGGUGGGCCCAGCUGCCUCCGUCAAUGGCUGUGCCACCGCCGGGCCCUCAGGCCUCUCACAAGGAAUCUUACCUGCUCCGGGGAACGCGGGCACCUGCUCCUCCCAGGAAGAAAACGACUUCCCGACACAGUGUCAGAGACACCGGAGUCGGCUCCAGCCACGCUUGCUCACGGCAGUCCUGCCAGAGGGAAGCCCCCGGCCCCGCAGGGGGAGCCGGCGAGCACGAAGCCGGCUAAUGCGCUCGGUGCCGGGCACGGUGGCUGCCGCGUCCUCACAAAACCGGCAUUUGGAGGGCGCGACGUAAACCCCUCUUAGAAGCAUCGGCUCGAUCUCCUCUGGGGAAAGUGACCAUGUGUGGAAGGGUGAAGGCGGACGGCCCAUCCACUCUCUGACAGUGCCAUGUGCUGUCACCUGUCCCGGGGCGGGCACACAGGUGGGCAGCCAGGUGUGCAGGGCGGGGCCUGCUCGGACAACCCGCUGGAGCUCCUGGUGGGCUCCUACGUGAACAUCGCUGAAGACACUCAGACUCCGCAGCCCGUGGCCACAGAGACUGACUAAAAGGUGCGUUCCUGGUCGAAAAUCACAGCAUAAGCCAACUCCCAAGACGGCCCAAAGCCUACCUCAACCGUGCUGGAAAAUGGGCCAAUGCAGCUCUUUCCAGCCUGUCCCGAUGUUGGGCUCGGCUGUACGACUCGCCAAUGGAACAUGGUGGAAGUGACUAUUUGGCAGCUCUGAGCCCAGACCUUGGGGAUGUCACAGACCUCCACCUGUCCUCUUGCACCUCAUCAUUGCCAUGAGAAGAACAUGCCCCCGCUGGUCUCCUGGGCAGAGGAAGACAAGGCACACGUGGGACCUAGCUGGGCCCAUCGACAGCACAGAGCUGCCCCACUGAGCCCCGUCCAGACCUCGGAGCACCCUGGCAGCUGGCAGACUCGAGAGACAAAUGUCACUGGGAUUUUUUGCAGCUGCUUGUUACGCAGCGAUAGCCAACUGAGACAGCACUGAAGACAAAAAGAGUGAGUGGGGAUUGAGGAUUGAGAAAGUAAGACCAUAAACGGGAAUUGGUGUAUGCAGUUCUCUCAGCACUGCCCCAUAAUCUCACAGACUUUUUACUGGUCACAUUUGGAAAGAACUCUCUUGGAAACAGAUGUCCCAAUCAGUUAAGAAUGUAGAACUUCCAGGCUGGAGGGUCGAGCUGAGUGUUUGGUUUCUGCUUUCAUUCCUUGUUUUUCAGUUGCAGAUCCAGCCUGUUCGGCAGCACUGGGAACAGGUGCGUGCAGAAAGCCACCCGGAUGAUUUCAUUUCCUUUCAGUAAAUGAGGCGGGUCUUCACUGAUGUCCAAUGUCACGUAAUCACACUGGGCAUCUGGGGCUUGUGCCUAGACCUGGGCACGUCCUUAGACAUGUGAGUCUUGCUGAGGCAGCGACAGUCGUCAUUCAGCAGACAGUUCCAGGUCUUCACCCCCAGGUGCCGGGAAGGGCCCCCUCUGGUUCCACCGGGGGUGGGCCCAGCCCAGUGGGUUGUGAGUGGAAAAGUUGGGGGCCACCCCUGUGCCGAAGCACCUGCACGCUGGCCGAGGCUCUCCGGCGCUCUCUCCGCUGCCCGACAGCCCAAGACACUCACAGUGCCACCAGCGAGAGAGUGGGCACGGACAGAGCUCGGCACCCACAGUGGGCGCACGGCACUAGUGCACGAGAAACUGUGCUUUUAGAGGACGUUAACGUCUACUACCACUGCAGGGCCUAGCCUGCUCUGAGAUGCACAUGAACUGCACCUGUUGCAUGAAAAAAAAAAAAAGAUUUGAACCACUAUCCCGAGAGACAGAAGCAGAAACCAACAAACCAUGUGACUCAGAGUUCACGUGACACGGAGCUGGCAGGUGGCCCCUGGGGUCUGAUUUUCAGCCCAGCCCACUGAAGGGACCCACGACAGGAGACAGGGAGGGUCCCUCAGGCACACCAGGCCCCGGACAGGGACCCGCCAGGCCUGUUUGGGCCAAUGGGACACGUGGUCACAGGGGCACUAAGUGGCUACCAGCUCAGAACAGGGCCAGUAACUGAGUCCCUCCAGGCUGCUCUGACAAAGAACUGCAGACCGGGUGGCUCAUAACAGUGCUGGAGGCACUUCCCAGGCGUCUGGGAAGGCCUGUUUCUGGUUCCUAGAUGCUGCCUUCUGCCUGUGUCCUCCUCUGGUGGAAGGGGCCAGGGGUCCCUCUGGGGUCCCUUUUAUAAGGGCACUGAUUGCACUCACAGGGCUCCACACUCAUGACCCCAUCACCUUAGCAGUUAGGAUUUCAGCGUAUGAUACUGAGGGGGACACGUCAGACCCUGCAUCAGGCCAGGCGUCGGCUGAAAGUCCG
This is a non-coding RNA of Microcebus murinus (gray mouse lemur), 3869 nucleotides long. The record is from RefSeq and is a predicted model, not a curated record. Lineage: Eukaryota; Metazoa; Chordata; Mammalia; Primates; Cheirogaleidae.